Molecule: transfer RNA, 75 nt
Filed under: Metabacillus litoralis
Lineage: Bacteria; Bacillati; Bacillota; Bacilli; Caryophanales; Bacillaceae
Also listed under: 2 other names
Description: Bacillus litoralis tRNA-Val
Rfam family: tRNA
About the family: Transfer RNA (tRNA) molecules are approximately 80 nucleotides in length. Their secondary structure includes four short double-helical elements and three loops (D, anti-codon, and T loops). Further hydrogen bonds mediate the characteristic L-shaped molecular structure. tRNAs have two regions of fundamental functional importance: the anti-codon, which is responsible for specific mRNA codon recognition, and the 3' end, to which the tRNAs corresponding amino acid is attached (by aminoacyl-tRNA synthetases). tRNAs cope with the degeneracy of the genetic code in two manners: having more than one tRNA (with a specific anti-codon) for a particular amino acid; and 'wobble' base-pairing, i.e. permitting non-standard base-pairing at the 3rd anti-codon position.
Source: RNAcentral
GAUCCGAUAGUUCAGUGGGAGAACACUACCUUGACAGGGUAGGGGUCGGGGGUUCGAAUCCCUCUCGGAUCAUCA